AGAUUAAGUUAUUAAGGGCGCACGGUGGAUGCCUUGGCACUAGAAGCCGAUGAAGGACGUUACUAACGACGAUAUGCUUUGGGGAGCUGUAAGUAAGCUUUGAUCCAGAGAUUUCCGAAUGGGGAAACCCAGCAUGAGUUAUGUCAUGUUAUCGAUAUGUGAAUACAUAGCAUAUCAGAAGGCACACCCGGAGAACUGAAACAUCUUAGUACCCGGAGGAAGAGAAAGAAAAUUCGAUUCCCUUAGUAGCGGCGAGCGAAACGGGAAGAGCCCAAACCAACAAGCUUGCUUGUUGGGGUUGUAGGACACUCUAUACGGAGUUACAAAGGACGACAUUAGACGAAUCAUCUGGAAAGAUGAAUCAAAGAAGGUAAUAAUCCUGUAGUCGAAAAUGUUGUCUCUCUUGAGUGGAUCCUGAGUACGACGGAGCACGUGAAAUUCCGUCGGAAUCUGGGAGGACCAUCUCCUAAGGCUAAAUACUCUCUAGUGACCGAUAGUGAACCAGUACCGUGAGGGAAAGGUGAAAAGCACCCCGGAAGGGGAGUGAAAUAGAACCUGAAACCGUGUGCUUACAAGUAGUCAGAGCCCGUUAAUGGGUGAUGGCGUGCCUUUUGUAGAAUGAACCGGCGAGUUACGAUUUGAUGCAAGGUUAAGCAGUAAAUGUGGAGCCGUAGCGAAAGCGAGUCUGAAUAGGGCGUUUAGUAUUUGGUCGUAGACCCGAAACCAGGUGAUCUACCCUUGGUCAGGUUGAAGUUCAGGUAACACUGAAUGGAGGACCGAACCGACUUACGUUGAAAAGUGAGCGGAUGAACUGAGGGUAGCGGAGAAAUUCCAAUCGAACCUGGAGAUAGCUGGUUCUCUCCGAAAUAGCUUUAGGGCUAGCCUCAAGUGAUGAUUAUUGGAGGUAGAGCACUGUUUGGACGAGGGGCCCCUCUCGGGUUACCGAAUUCAGACAAACUCCGAAUGCCAAUUAAUUUAACUUGGGAGUCAGAACAUGGGUGAUAAGGUCCGUGUUCGAAAGGGAAACAGCCCAGACCACCAGCUAAGGUCCCAAAAUAUAUGUUAAGUGGAAAAGGAUGUGGCGUUGCCCAGACAACUAGGAUGUUGGCUUAGAAGCAGCCAUCAUUUAAAGAGUGCGUAAUAGCUCACUAGUCGAGUGACACUGCGCCGAAAAUGUACCGGGGCUAAACAUAUUACCGAAGCUGUGGAUUGUCCUUUGGACAAUGGUAGGAGAGCGUUCUAAGGGCGUUGAAGCAUGAUCGUAAGGACAUGUGGAGCGCUUAGAAGUGAGAAUGCCGGUGUGAGUAGCGAAAGACGGGUGAGAAUCCCGUCCACCGAUUGACUAAGGUUUCCAGAGGAAGGCUCGUCCGCUCUGGGUUAGUCGGGUCCUAAGCUGAGGCCGACAGGCGUAGGCGAUGGAUAACAGGUUGAUAUUCCUGUACCACCUAUAAUCGUUUUAAUCGAUGGGGGGACGCAGUAGGAUAGGCGAAGCGUGCGAUUGGAUUGCACGUCUAAGCAGUAAGGCUGAGUAUUAGGCAAAUCCGGUACUCGUUAAGGCUGAGCUGUGAUGGGGAGAAGACAUUGUGUCUUCGAGUCGUUGAUUUCACACUGCCGAGAAAAGCCUCUAGAUAGAAAAUAGGUGCCCGUACCGCAAACCGACACAGGUAGUCAAGAUGAGAAUUCUAAGGUGAGCGAGCGAACUCUCGUUAAGGAACUCGGCAAAAUGACCCCGUAACUUCGGGAGAAGGGGUGCUCUUUAGGGUUAACGCCCAGAAGAGCCGCAGUGAAUAGGCCCAAGCGACUGUUUAUCAAAAACACAGGUCUCUGCUAAACCGUAAGGUGAUGUAUAGGGGCUGACGCCUGCCCGGUGCUGGAAGGUUAAGAGGAGUGGUUAGCUUCUGCGAAGCUACGAAUCGAAGCCCCAGUAAACGGCGGCCGUAACUAUAACGGUCCUAAGGUAGCGAAAUUCCUUGUCGGGUAAGUUCCGACCCGCACGAAAGGCGUAACGAUUUGGGCACUGUCUCAACGAGAGACUCGGUGAAAUCAUAGUACCUGUGAAGAUGCAGGUUACCCGCGACAGGACGGAAAGACCCCGUGGAGCUUUACUGUAGCCUGAUAUUGAAAUUCGGCACAGCUUGUACAGGAUAGGUAGGAGCCUUUGAAACGUGAGCGCUAGCUUACGUGGAGGCGCUGGUGGGAUACUACCCUAGCUGUGUUGGCUUUCUAACCCGCACCACUUAUCGUGGUGGGAGACAGUGUCAGGCGGGCAGUUUGACUGGGGCGGUCGCCUCCUAAAAGGUAACGGAGGCGCUCAAAGGUUCCCUCAGAAUGGUUGGAAAUUAUUCAUAGAGUGUAAAGGCAUAAGGGAGCUUGACUGCGAGACCUACAAGUCGAGCAGGGUCGAAAGACGGACUUAGUGAUCCGGUGGUUCCGCAUGGAAGGGCCAUCGCUCAACGGAUAAAAGCUACCCCGGGGAUAACAGGCUUAUCUCCCCCAAGAGUUCACAUCGACGGGGAGGUUUGGCACCUCGAUGUCGGCUCAUCGCAUCCUGGGGCUGUAGUCGGUCCCAAGGGUUGGGCUGUUCGCCCAUUAAAGCGGUACGCGAGCUGGGUUCAGAACGUCGUGAGACAGUUCGGUCCCUAUCCGUCGUGGGCGUAGGAAAUUUGAGAGGAGCUGUCCUUAGUACGAGAGGACCGGGAUGGACAUACCUCUGGUGUACCAGUUGUCGUGCCAACGGCAUAGCUGGGUAGCUAUGUGUGGACGGGAUAAGUGCUGAAAGCAUCUAAGCAUGAAGCCCCCCUCAAGAUGAGAUUUCCCAACUUCGGUUAUAAGAUCCCUCAAAGAUGAUGAGGUUAAUAGGUUCGAGGUGGAAGCAUGGUGACAUGUGGAGCUGACGAAUACUAAUCGAUCGAAGACUUAAUCAAAUU
Molecule: ribosomal RNA, 2927 nt
Filed under: Staphylococcus aureus
Lineage: Bacteria; Bacillati; Bacillota; Bacilli; Caryophanales; Staphylococcaceae
Description: bacterial LSU rRNA
Rfam family: Bacterial large subunit ribosomal RNA
Source: RNAcentral